RNAcentral lists this transfer RNA (73 nucleotides) under Pleodorina starrii. Its description in RNAcentral is "tRNA-His". Lineage: Eukaryota; Viridiplantae; Chlorophyta; Chlorophyceae; Chlamydomonadales; Volvocaceae. The record is from RNAcentral.
GUCCCUAUCGUAUAGUGGUUAGUACAUCACGUUGUGGCCGUGAAGACCCCCGGCUCGAAUCCGGGUAGGGACA